AUCAAUAAGCCUCCGGGUUAAUUGCAGAAUUUCUUGCAGUUAAGUCCAGAACACCUGCUGUAAAAUAAGAGGGGUCCCAGGUGGCCAGGCAGGACAGGAGUGUUUGGUUAGAAAGUUUUGUCAGUCUGAGAUGCCUGUAGGGCUGGGCUGAGUACCCUGAGGAAAACCAGCACUGGGCCUUCAGGACUACAGAAAAUGUUACUCUUUAACUGCUCCCUGGUCUGAGAUGGCUUAGAGUGCCUUACCUCUUCUACCACACAGCUCUGCCAGAAGAUCUGAAGCACCUUGUAAACCUUACACCUUCCAGAGGUACAAGUGCUUAUUUCUCACAAUCACAGCUGAAGAGAUUCUUUAGUGGACACUGUGCAAAUAAAGUCCAUGCACCACAGACAUCCACAUCCUGCAGAUGUUGGUAUUCCUAUCAUACACAAUUUCUUCAGUUUUGUCAGCCAAGAAGUAGAAGUAGAAUUGCAUUUUCCUUGACACAUGAUGUGUAUAUCAUGAUCUCAAUAUUUUGGUUUCCCAUGGCCUUUUACAAUAAAGGUUCUAAAUUUGCUGCCAAGAUUUGGAAUAGUUGGAUGGAGCUAAUUUUUAUAAUUAUGUGGAAGUUUUUCAGAGUUUUUAGUACAGUGAAGACUGUGGACUAUUUCUCCUGGGCAACAUACUUUCCCUCAAUGUUCACCCAGACUGACAGACCAAAUUUUGUUCUCUCUUCCUUUGAAUUAUGGAAUCCUAGAAUCACAAAAUCAUAG
This 752-nucleotide long non-coding RNA is filed under the name Meleagris gallopavo (turkey). Its description in RNAcentral is "lncRNA (ENSMGAG00000021201.1)". Lineage: Eukaryota; Metazoa; Chordata; Aves; Galliformes; Phasianidae. The record is from RNAcentral.